GUCGAAUCGGAGCUGUAGCCACUGGCCUACGCCAGAGCCACAGCAACGCGGGGUCCGAGCCGCGUCUGCAACCUACACCACAGCUCACGGCAACACUGGAUUAUUAACCCACUGAGCAAGGGCAGGGACCGAACCCGCAACCUCAUGGUUCCUAGUCGGAUUCGUUAACCACUGCGCCACGACGGGAACUCCUCUGUUUUAUUUUUUAAUCUAGCUAAGCGAUUAUCUGCUGUACAUGAAACUGUUAAGUGUGUUCACGGAAAACGGUAAUUUUGGAUAAUUUGUUAUUUGUUAUCUUUCAGCUCUGUCUUCUCAUGACACCCAGGGUUUGAUGCCACAUAAGCCAGUCAUGGAACUUUUCUUACCAACAAUGCUGCUGGGAAAAUAUGAAAGCUCUGCUGUUGGUGCUUUUGAUUUAAUUAGAGGCAGUAAGUAUGUACAUGAAGUUUGUUUUUCAUGGUUGCAUCUU
RNAcentral lists this long non-coding RNA (469 nucleotides) under Sus scrofa (pig). RNAcentral's name for it is "lncRNA (ENSSSCG00070015077.1)". Lineage: Eukaryota; Metazoa; Chordata; Mammalia; Artiodactyla; Suidae. The record is from RNAcentral.